GUAUGCGUCUCUCCAUGCCGGUAAACACGGCUGUAUUGUGGGUGACUGACCGGGGAGCACAGAGCUAAGCAGGCUUAUCGAUGUAGAAGUUUGGGACCGUGUUCGCUCGUUUCAAUUGCGUGUAUGCGUCUCUCCAUGCCGGUAAACACGGCUGUAUUGUGGGUGACUGACCGGGGAGCACAGAGCUAAGCAGGCUUAUCGAUGUAGAAGUUUGGGACCGUGUUCGCUCGUUUCAAUUGCGUGUAUGCGUCUCUCCAUGCCGGUAAACACGGCUGUAUUGUGGGUGACUAACCGGGGAGCACAGAGCUAAGCAGGCUAAUCGCUGUAGAAGUUUGGGACCGUGUUCGCUCGUUUCAGUUGCGUGUAUGCGUCUCUCCAUGCCGAUAAACACGGCUGUAUUUUGGGUGACUAUCCGGGGAGCACAGAGCUAAGCAGGUGAAUCGCUGUAGAAGUUUGGGACCGUGUUCGCUCGUUUCAAUUGCGUGCAUGUGUCUCUCUCACUUGUAAACACAACGUUAUUCAGGCGGUGUUGGAAACGUGUGUUUAUGUUAAAGUAGGGAACAAGUUAUAGUCGAAUUGGGGCAGAUUCAGGAAAGUUAAUGAAGUAGAAAGCCAGUCUUUUGAGCAUGAUCUGUAUUAUUGUUUUAACCUUUACUAUUUUCCAUACCAGGAUCGUUUUAUCCACACGGGCACACAAACAGAAGCUCCAAGUGUGAGAACAUGUGCCACUCAACUGUCAAUUGGGACCUUGAAAGCACACGUGCACAGCCAAAGGACCCAGACACCAGUGUUGUCACAUGAGACUGCUGGCACACAAACCACACUACCGGAGUACAUGUUUUCAUCCACACCUAUAAAGGUGCCAGGGUUUGGACCACAAAAAAGAGCAGGUGUUGAGUCAGAGGAGGAAGAGGGAUUCACCUCACCAGAGUCACAAGUCGACCCAAAUGACCCAACCUUUACUCCUGGCGGAUCCCUAACAACACAUGAUUCAACAAUGUUGACGGAAAGUGCUGUAUACAUGGAUAAAAAAUGCAUUGUAUUUGAGUCCUGCCUGAGGGAGCUUUUUGACACAUGUCCAGUGUGCAAGAGAAAUUGCGAAGUGCAGCAGCAACAGAAGGGCACGUAUGUUGCAUUUCAUCAAACGUGUCCAAAAUGCAACUACUCCAGGAAGUGGCAAAGUCAGCCCAUGAUUAAGAACACCCCAGUUGGCAAUGUACAGUUAUCUGCUGCUACAUAUUUCACUGGUGCAUCCUUCAUCCAGCUGGAAAAGCUAUGCCGCGCCUUGCAGCUCCAGAUUUCUCAUUAUGACACCUUCCGGAAACAUGCAAGGAAAUACCUGGAACCUGCAAUCGUCCACAAGUGGAAGAGUGACCAGCAGGUCCUUUUCUCCACAUUGAAACCGGGGGGGGAAAGUUCAAGUUGCAGGAGACAUGCGUGCAGAUUCUCCAGGGCACUCUGCAAAAUUUGGGAGCUAUUCCUUGAUGCACAUGGACAGCAACAAAAUUUUGGACCUCCAGCUAGUUCAGAGCAAUGAAGUGGGUGGUAGCUACCACAUGGAAAAGGAGGGACUACGACGAAGUCUGUACUACAGUGCAACGUCCUCAACAUCGGGCCCAGAGAAGGUUGUACCUUGCAUCCAUGCAUCACAACGAAAAUUCCAGCCGUGAGCAGGCAACAACAGCUUUAGGCCAAGCUGUCUACAGAGUGUCGUAUUCGAAGGCCAAGAAGGGAGAACCCACCGCAAAGCCGGUCAAAACAGACCCCACGUACAACUAUGUGGCUGAAUUGAUGAGGCUGGUGUUCGAGGAGGUGAUGGAGGACCCAGAGUCUUUCGCUGAGGACAUGAGGAAGAUCGCCAUCCCAGAGACCCUGUCAGCCCAGUAUGACAGACCCUCAAAGGAGGAAGUCAUUGCCUCACACGUGACCCGCUUCAGUCAAGGGGUGGGCGGAAGCCAACAUAUUGUCCAGCCAGAUCAGGAAACUCCUGGCGUAUCCGACACACGACGGGAUGACAACUCGUACACGUCGUCCCAAAUAUCCCCAGCACCAGCUGACAAAGCUGCGGUAUGCUAAAUGCCGGUAGCGACUGGAAAGUGGAUAGAAAUGUAAAAAAAUUAAAUGCUGCUCUUGCACUGUGCACAUUUUGUGUAAAAAGUUUUUAUUAAACAUUUCUAAGACACAA
Solea solea (common sole) is the source of this 2185-nucleotide long non-coding RNA. RefSeq lists it as uncharacterized. Lineage: Eukaryota; Metazoa; Chordata; Actinopteri; Pleuronectiformes; Soleidae. The record is from RefSeq and is a predicted model, not a curated record. The transcript is spliced from 8 exons.